This 499-nucleotide ribosomal RNA is filed under the name uncultured bacterium. RNAcentral describes it as "partial 16S ribosomal RNA". It matches the Rfam family "Bacterial small subunit ribosomal RNA", at positions 28 to 507 of the family's 1533-position model. The record is from RNAcentral.
GAUGAACGCUGGCGGCGUGCCUAAUACAUGCAAGUCGAGCGAACAGACGAGAGUGCUUGCACUCUCUGACGUUAGCGGCGGACGGGUGAGUAACACGUGGGUAACCUACCUAUAAGACUGGGAUAACUUCGGGAAACCGGAGCUAAUACCGGAUAAUAUUUAGCUUCGCAUGACGCAAUAGUGAAAGACGGUUCUGCUGUCACUUAUAGAUGGACCCGCGGUGUAUUAGCUAGUUGGUGAGGUAACGGCUCACCAAGGCAACGAUACAUAGCCGACCUGAGAGGGGGAUCGGCCACACUGGGACUGAGACACGGCCCAGACUCCUACGGGAGGCAGCAGUAGGGAAUCUUCCGCAAUGGACGAAAGUCUGACGGAGCAAUGCCGCGUGAGUGAAGAAGGUUUUCGGAUCGUAAAACUCUGUUGUAAGGGAAGAACAAGUACGUUAGUAACUGAACGUACCUUGACGGUACCUUACCAGAAAGCCACGGCUAACUACGUG